CACGUUCAAACCUGUUGUUGGGCGGGCGUGCCAUGAGCUGGGAGGAGCGGGAGCCGAGGAUGCUAAGGGCACUCUGUGGAGCAAUUCUCGCUGCAGGGCUGGUCAGGGAGCGUCUGGAUGGUUUGGGGCAACUUCCUGAAUCUCUCUCCCUUGGUUUUUCUCAUUUAUAAAAUGGGAGUAAUGACAGGUUGCUGGGAGUGCCAUGACCACAUACUUUUGGCUUCGUUUCUUUGGCAAGAGUCGUUUUGUGAGCUGGUUCCUAGAUAAUGAGGACCUGUGAGGAGUCCCGGCCCGCCGACAGCCUCAGCACAGGGUCACUGCCACGUGGGACCCAGGCCAGAGACAUCCUGCCUCCUAGGAAUGGAUUCCAGAGGCCCUGGUCACUGACCAGCACACCUGUGGGUGAGACACAAACCCCCUCCUCCCACACGGAGCCAGCACUGUCUUUGCAUUGUAUAUUUUGUAUAAAAAGAGCUCCAAUGUGGGAGCAUUUCCUUUUUUUGUCUAAAAUUGUCCAGAUUGUUAACACCAUCAUUAUCUGGACCCAGUUAAUUACAUUCAAACUUGCUUUUGUCCUAAGCGAGAGUUAUUUCUGCGACUUCUUACACACAGUUUCCUAAACACAGCGAAGAAAACACUAGCCUGGAUUUCAUCUUCAGCUCCUCAUCUUUACAAAGAAGGUACCAGCUGUUUGUGAACCCGCAGGGCAUUAAACGCGCAGGAGCCUUGGACGGGAGCAUGGAGAGAGAAAUCCACAGGUUCCACCCAGGCUUUCUGAGCAAACAAAACCAGGGAAGGCAAACACAGGCCUUUUGUUCUGACCCCAUGGUUCUAGCCAAGCGCUGCUUCGCUAAGGUUGACCUCACAGAGCUGAAGAGUGUGGCGUGAAUUGCCAAGUUGACUGGGGCCAUCCUGUGUGCCAGGGGACUUGGCCCUCCUCCCAUGGCCAGUUUGCCUCUCACCUUCACACCCUGCCUCGCGGCCCAGGGGCCUCGGCGCAGGUGGGGUGAGGGAGACAUCAGCAGGCUCCAUCUCCCAGCAACAGGGUCGCUUUGAUGGGUGCAGUUUCUGAGCCCGCUCAGCCAAGAUCAGUAAUAGCUUCCUCCUUCUCCUCCCCCACACAGACCUAGAUAUGUUUUCUUCUACAUGUAAGUUAUUGAAAAUAGUCAAAGGCUCAUCAAGACUUUGAAGAAAUUCUUUCUUAUGAACUCUUGUCCUUUUAAUUAGCAGGAAGUAAAUUCAUGUAAAACAGUUUUGCGAUCGCACAAGCAGAUAGGAGGCGAUCAGAAAAUGUGCUUAUCCUCAUCUCCCAGCUUGACUUUCGUAUUGCGGGGAAGUCCUUCAUCCUUCUAUCAACACUUUCUUUAUUCCUGCCUCAAAUCCUGGCUGCUUAUUUAAUCUGAUGAAAGUCUUCUUUGCCUGUGUCUGCUCUAACCCCAGAUAUGUGCAAUCAUAUAAAAUGGAUUCAUGUGUGGCUCUCUUGCUGCUGUGCCUAAGCCUGACAUUCUGGGUCACAUGCACUGGAGAUGCAGGACAGGCUUCUAAACCACGUGAACAGAGAGUGCGGACACACGGCUUGCCUUUAUCUCCGUCCCAGGGUUCACAAGAUCAAUCACAAUAUUGUUCCCGCUGACCCUGGGAGGAAAAGUCAUGAAACCCAACCCAUGCCCCGUCCUCCCAGGGAGUUCGGGAAGAAAAUUGCAGUCAAAGAUUGAAGGAACAAGGACUGGAAGGGGAAUUGUCCCUGGAAACCAAUCUGCAGGCGGCUUCCUUUUCUCCCGAAACAUGCCUUUUUUACUUUUGAGUCGCGGUCUCACUCUGUCAGCAGGGCUGGGACGCAGUGGCAUCCCAAAUUGCUUGGAUUACAGUUGUGAGCCACUGGCUCCCAGGUCCAAAACAUGCCUUUUAUUUUUAUUAUUAUUUAUUAUUAUAUUUAUUU
This 1939-nucleotide long non-coding RNA is filed under the name Homo sapiens (human). RNAcentral describes it as "HSALNT0247840". The record is from RNAcentral. Lineage: Eukaryota; Metazoa; Chordata; Mammalia; Primates; Hominidae.